RNAcentral lists this ribosomal RNA (253 nucleotides) under uncultured bacterium. Its description in RNAcentral is "partial 16S ribosomal RNA". It matches the Rfam family "Bacterial small subunit ribosomal RNA", at positions 524 to 776 of the family's 1533-position model. The record is from RNAcentral.
UACGUAGGAUGCAAGCGUUAUCCGGAAUGAUUGGGCGUAAAGCGUCCGCAGGUGGCUAUGUAAGUCUGCUGUUAAAGAGUGAGGCUCAACCUCAUAAGAGCAGUGGAAACUACAUAGCUGGAGUGCGUUCGGGGCAGAGGGAAUUCCUGGUGUAGCGGUGAAAUGCGUAGAUAUCAGGAAGAACACCGGUGGCGAAAGCGCUCUGCUAGGCCGUAACUGACACUGAGGGACGAAAGCUAGGGGAGCGAAUGGG